UACGUAGGGUGCGAGCGUUGUCCGGAAUUAUUGGGCGUAAAGAGCUCGUAGGCGGUGUGUCACGUCGGCCGUGAAAACCUGCAGCUUAACUGUGGGCGUGCGGUCGAUACGGGCAUCACUGGAGUUCGGCAGGGGAGAGUGGAAUUCCUGGUGUAGCGGUGAAAUGCGCAGAUAUCAGGAAGAACACCCGUGGCGAAAGCGGCUCUCUGGAACGGUACUGACGCUGAGACGCGAAAGCGUGGGGAGCGAACAGG
This 254-nucleotide ribosomal RNA is filed under the name uncultured bacterium. Its description in RNAcentral is "partial 16S ribosomal RNA". It matches the Rfam family "Bacterial small subunit ribosomal RNA", at positions 524 to 776 of the family's 1533-position model. The record is from RNAcentral.